AGUGAACGCUGGCGGUAGGCCUAACACAUGCAAGUCGAACGGCAGCACAGUAAGAGCUUGCUCUUACGGGUGGCGAGUGGCGGACGGGUGAGGAAUACAUCGGAAUCUACUUUUUCGUGGGGGAUAACGUAGGGAAACUUACGCUAAUACCGCAUACGACCUACGGGUGAAAUCAGGGGAUCUUCGGACCUUUCGCGAUUGAAUGAGCCGAUGUCGGAUUAGCUAGUUGGCGGGGUAAAGGCCCACCAAGGCGACGAUCCGUAGCUGGUCUGAGAGGAUGAUCAGCCACACUGGAACUGAGACACGGUCCAGACUCCUACGGGAGGCAGCAGUGGGGAAUAUUGGACAAUGGGCGCAAGCCUGAUCCAGCCAUACCGCGUGGGUGAAGAAGGCCUUCGGGUCGUAAAGCCCUUUUGUUGGGAAAGAAAAGCAGCAGGUUAAUACCCCGCUGUUCUGACGGUACCCAAAGAAUAAGCACCGGCUAACUUCGUG
Molecule: ribosomal RNA, 492 nt
Filed under: uncultured bacterium
Lineage: Bacteria
Description: partial 16S ribosomal RNA
Rfam family: Bacterial small subunit ribosomal RNA
Source: RNAcentral